RNAcentral lists this ribosomal RNA (494 nucleotides) under uncultured bacterium. RNAcentral's name for it is "partial 16S ribosomal RNA". It matches the Rfam family "Bacterial small subunit ribosomal RNA", at positions 28 to 507 of the family's 1533-position model. The record is from RNAcentral.
GACGAACGCUGGCGGCGCGCUUAACACAUGCAAGUCGAACGGAAAGGCCUGCUUUCCCUUGUGGAUUGCGGGUACUCGAGUGGCGAACGGGUGAGUAACACGUGAGUGAUCUGCCCCCAACUUGGGUAUAAGCCUGGGAAACUGGGUCUAAUUCCCGAUAGGACUGCAGGGUGGUGCCUGUGGUGGAAAACGAUUUUCUAGUGGUUGGGGAUGAGCUCGCGGCCUAUCAGCUUGUUGGUGGGGUAAUGGCCUACCAAGGCGGGGACGGGUAGCCGGCCUGAGAGGGUGGACGGCCGCAUUGGGACUGGGAUACGGCCCAGACUCCUACGGGCGGCAGCAGUGGGGAAUAUUGCGCAGUGGGCGGAAGCCUGAUGCAGCGACGCCGCGUGGGGGAUGACGGCCUUCGGGUUGUAAACUCCUUUCGACCGCGAGGAAGCCACCUGGUUGGAAGGGUGGUGACGGUAGUGGUAGAAGAAGCACCGGCUAACUACGUG